This 288-nucleotide ribosomal RNA is filed under the name uncultured bacterium. RNAcentral's name for it is "partial 16S ribosomal RNA". It matches the Rfam family "Bacterial small subunit ribosomal RNA", at positions 773 to 1060 of the family's 1533-position model. The record is from RNAcentral.
GUGGAUUAGAUACCCUGGUAGUCCACGCCGUAAACGAUGUCUACUAGCCGUUGGAGUCCUUGAGGCUUUAGUGGCGCAGCUAACGCACUAAGUAGACCGCCUGGGGAGUACGGUCGCAAGAUUAAAACUCAAAUGAAUUGACGGGGGCCCGCACAAGCGGUGGAGCAUGUGGUUUAAUUCGACGCAACGCGAAGAACCUUACCAGGUCUUGACAUCCAGAGAACUUUCCAGAGAUGGAUUGGUGCCUUCGGGAACUCUGAGACAGGUGCUGCAUGGCUGUCGUCAACU